UCAGACGAUGCGUCAUGCAUAUCAAUAAGCGGAGGAAAAGAAACUAACAAGGAUUCCCUCAGUAACGGCGAGUGAAGCGGGAAGAGCUCAAAUUUGAAAUCUUGAAAGGUCACCUUUCACGAAUUGUAGUUUAAAGAAGUGUUUUCUGUUACGAUCGUAAUAUAAGUUCUUUGGAAUAGGACAUCACAGAGGGUGAGAAUCCCGUCUAUGAUUGCGAUUUGUAGCUUUGUGAUACACUUUCAAAGAGUCGGGUUGUUUGGGAAUGCAGCCCAAAACGGGAGGUAAAUUUCUUCUAAGGCUAAGUAUUGGCGAGAGACCGAUAGCGAACAAGUACCGUGAGGGAAAGAUGAAAAGACUUUGAAAAGAGAGUUAAAUAGUACGUGAAAUUGUCAAAAGGGAAGCGUUUAACACCAGUGUUGUUUUCUGAAAAUCAACCUCUGUUAGCUUUAUGCAUGUUUGUUUAGACCUAAUCAGCUAUCUUGCAUGUUCUAUUGUUUGCAGUGGUGCACUUUUCAGUUUACAGGUCAACAUCAGUUUUUUUUACCGUAAAAAAGUUAAAGAAAGGUAGCUCAUGGCUCCGGUCGUGAGUGUUAUAGUCUUUUUCCUAUGCGGUAGGAGAGACUGAGGUCUGCAGUGUAGGCUAUUUGGCUAGAUACUCAGGUGCUAUGUGAUACCAUUUCAUAAACAACCUGUUGAUUAUGUUUUGUCUAUUGCAUACUCGCUUGUACUAUCAUACCUACGCUUAGGAUGUUGACUGAUAUGUAGUCGUA
RNAcentral lists this ribosomal RNA (770 nucleotides) under uncultured Neocallimastigales. Its description in RNAcentral is "partial large subunit ribosomal RNA". It matches the Rfam family "Eukaryotic large subunit ribosomal RNA", at positions 18 to 644 of the family's 3401-position model. Lineage: Eukaryota; Fungi; Neocallimastigomycota; Neocallimastigomycetes; Neocallimastigales. The record is from RNAcentral.